This 489-nucleotide ribosomal RNA is filed under the name uncultured bacterium. Its description in RNAcentral is "partial 16S ribosomal RNA". It matches the Rfam family "Bacterial small subunit ribosomal RNA", at positions 29 to 507 of the family's 1533-position model. The record is from RNAcentral.
AUGAACGCUAGCGAUAGGCUUAACACAUGCAAGUCGAGGGGCAGCAUGGUCUUAGCUUGCUAAGGCUGAUGGCGACCGGCGCACGGGUGCGUAACGCGUAUGCAACUUGCCUCACAGAGGGGGAUAACCCGUCGAAAGACGGACUAAUACCGCGUACACUCUAUGUUGGGCAUCCAAUGUAGAGGAAAUGAAAUUCGCUGUGAGAUAGGCAUGCGUCCCAUUAGCUAGUUGGUGAGGUAACGGCUCACCAAGGCGACGAUGGGUAGGGGAACUGAGAGGUUGAACCCCCACACUGGUACUGAGACACGGACCAGACUCCUACGGGAGGCAGCAGUGAGGAAUAUUGGUCAAUGGGCGAGAGCCUGAACCAGCCAAGUCGCGUGAAGGAUGACUGUCUUAUGGAUUGUAAACUUCUUUUAUACGGGAAUAACAAGAGUCACGUGUGGCUCCCUGCAUGUACUGUAUGAAUAAGCAUCGGCUAACUCCGUG